UAUGAAAGAAAUUAGUUAAUUUACCUUUUGUAUCAGGGUUUUUUAAAAAAAUUAUUUAUUUUAUAAAUCUCGAAUCAGUGAUGAGCUAAGAAGUUUGUUUUUGUUUAAAUAAAGAAUUUAUUAAAUUAGUGAUGAAAUGUUUUCGUAUUCUGUGAUAACUAGUUAUUUAAAUGAAUUGUUAAGUAAUUGGUUUUGAAUCAAUCUAAUAGAAGAGUUAAUUUUUUUAUUUAUUUAGGUAUAAUUUAGAUUCGGAUAAAUUAGGUUUAAUAUUGGCCAUAUUUAUAUAUUGUUAUAAAUAAUUUUAUUUUUAAGUGUAGUUACUACAAAUAUUUAGAUUGUUUAGUUUUUUAAAAUAGCUUUUAUAAUAAUGAGUAAAUUAGUAUUAAAUUUAAGUUGUAUAAUUGAACUCGAAGUUUAUUUGAUAGUUUAGCAAAAACAUUUUUUUUAGUUAAUUGAAAGUAAGGCCUGCCCAGUGAUUUUUUAACGGCUGCGGUAUUUUGACUGUACUAAGGUAGCAUAAUCAUUUGUUUUUUAAUUGUAGACUGGAAUGAAUGGUUUUACAAAUAAUUAUUGUAAUGGUUUAAUUUUAAAAAUUUUUAUUUUGAAUAAAAAUAUUCAAAUAUUAUAAAGGGACGAUAAGACCCUAAAAGCUUUUUUAUUAUUAUAAUUAUUUAAUUAGUGAAUAUAGUGAUAGGUUUAGUUGGGGUAACGAGAGUAUUAUUAUUAUUUUAUAAAUGCACAGUUAUUUAUGGUUAUUGGAUCUUUUAUAUAAAGAAAAAUAGUAUUAGUUACUUUAGGGAUAACAGCGUAAUAAUUUUAGAAAGGCCUUAUUAAUAGAAUUGAUUACGACCUCGAUGUUGAAUUAAAAGUUCUAUUUAUUGCAGGAGGUAAGUAAGAAGGUUUGUUCAACCUUUGAUUUUUUACAUGAUUUGAGUUCAAAU
RNAcentral lists this ribosomal RNA (941 nucleotides) under Niphargus virei. RNAcentral describes it as "partial 16S ribosomal RNA". The record is from RNAcentral. Lineage: Eukaryota; Metazoa; Arthropoda; Malacostraca; Amphipoda; Niphargidae.